CAUGUAGGCGGCAUGACAAGUCUGGUGUGAAAUAUCUCGGCUCAACCGAGAAAACGCACUGGAAUCUGUCAAGCUUGAGUAUCGGAGGGGAAGCUAGAAUUCCUGGUGUAGGGGUGAAAUCUGUAGAUAUCAGGAAGAAUACCGGUGGCGAAGGCGAGCUUCUGGCCAGACACUGACGCUGAGAUGCGAAAGCGUGGGGAGCGAACAGGAUUAGAUACCCUGGUAGUCC
This 229-nucleotide ribosomal RNA is filed under the name uncultured bacterium. Its description in RNAcentral is "partial 16S ribosomal RNA". It matches the Rfam family "Bacterial small subunit ribosomal RNA", at positions 568 to 796 of the family's 1533-position model. The record is from RNAcentral.